CGGGGGGAGCAAGCGUUGUUCGGAUUUACUGGGCGUAAAGGGCGCGUAGGCGGCCACCGCAAGUCGACUGUGAAAUCUCCGGGCUUAACCCGGAAAGGUCAGCCGAUACUGCGGGGCUAGAGUGCAGAAGGGGCAACUGGAAUUCUCGGUGUAGCGGUGAAAUGCGUAGAUAUCGAGAGGAACACCUGCGGCGAAGGCGGGUUGCUGGGCUGACACUGACGCUGAUGCGCGAAAGCUAGGGGAGCGAACGGGAUUAGAUACCCCGGUAGUCCUAGCCUUAAACGAUGAAUGCUUGGUGUCUGGGGUUUAUAGCCCCCGGGUGCCGUCGCUAACGCUUUAAGCAUUCCGCCUGGGGAGUACGGUCGCAAGACUG
This 373-nucleotide ribosomal RNA is filed under the name uncultured organism. RNAcentral describes it as "bacterial SSU rRNA". It matches the Rfam family "Bacterial small subunit ribosomal RNA", at positions 526 to 896 of the family's 1533-position model. The record is from RNAcentral.